GACGAACGCUGGCGGCGUGCUUAACACAUGCAAGUCGAACGGAAAGGCCCUGCUUUUGUGGGGUGCUCGAGUGGCGAACGGGUGAGUAACACGUGAGUAACCUGCCCUUGACUUUAGGAUAACUUCAGGAAACUGGGGCUAAUACCGGAUAGGAGCUCCUGCUGCAUGGUGGGGGUUGGAAAGUUUCGGCGGUUGGGGAUGGACUCGCGGCUUAUCAGCUUGUUGGUGGGGUAGUGGCUUACCAAGGCUUUGACGGGUAGCCGGCCUGAGAGGGUGACCGGCCACAUUGGGACUGAGAUACGGCCCAGACUCCUACGGGAGGCAGCAGUGGGGAAUAUUGCACAGUGGGCGGAAGCCUGAUGCAGCAACGCCGCGUGCGGGAUGACGGCCUUCGGGUUGUAAACCGCUUUCGCCUGUGACGAAGCGUGAGUGACGGUAAUGGGUAAAGAAGCACCGGCUAACUACGUG
This 468-nucleotide ribosomal RNA is filed under the name uncultured bacterium. RNAcentral's name for it is "partial 16S ribosomal RNA". It matches the Rfam family "Bacterial small subunit ribosomal RNA", at positions 28 to 507 of the family's 1533-position model. The record is from RNAcentral.